RNAcentral lists this long non-coding RNA (2098 nucleotides) under Homo sapiens (human). RNAcentral's name for it is "HSALNT0317639". The record is from RNAcentral. Lineage: Eukaryota; Metazoa; Chordata; Mammalia; Primates; Hominidae.
GUUUCGUGCGCACCUCCGGGCGGAAUUACCGGCCGGCUGGGACCCCGCUCCCGGUCUGAGCCACCCAGGUUAUAGAAGGGGAAUCUCGGGAAGCUUUCCAAGUCACUGCCCACGUCUUCGAACUUCCUCGGGGUGACGAGGACCUCCCUAUUAGGAGGUCCAGAGAGAAUUUGCCCAAAGUUACCCCGAGUGAGUGACAGAACUGGAAACCCGGAGAUCCUGUCUUUCAAAACCGGAAGGCUCUUCCCAGUAAACCUGACGGCCUCUGACUGAGGCCGUAUCCAUUGGCUACCAAAGGGAAGGCCGAGGAACCUCGUAUUGUAACCUUAACAGCUACUCAGAGGCCCCAGCUUAUAAAUCUAUGAAGGUGUCCAGGUCCUGCCAGACUCCGCUGCAUCUUUUGCUUUCACUCCAGCAGGGUAGCAGCAUGCUGCCUGUGCCAAGGCAAUCACUAAAAGGAAAGGAUUUAAUGCUGUCAAAAAAGCUUAUGCCAGCUUAGGCUGCAGGAAGAGGAACAGUGUCAAGUAUGUUGAAAGUGGACAUAUUGGUCAGACCUCCAUGAGAGCCUAGGGGGCAUUGCUUAGCAGCACGCUUUUAAAGGAAUCUGAACAAACCAGCAUGUGGAAAGAAGAGAGUAACCACAGCAAUCAGGAAACAACUGUACAAUCUAGGGCCAUUUCAUUGGAAAAACAGAAGUCUCCAGGGAGCUGCAGUCAUCAAACAGGCUUAUUCUGUGUACCCAGUGGGCAAGUACAGUCAAUGGAUGAAAAUUCAACCAAUGGACAAACACAGGAAGUUUUUCCUUAACAUGAGUUGUCAGAAACUGUCCAAAAUUCCAAAGAGCUGCCUCAAGGUAGUGGAAAUUUUUUUUUUUUUUUAAUCAGGAAGGUGCUGAAUGAAGCCAGCAAGGAUUCUGUGUCAGAGGGUGGUAGAUACCCAGGACAUAAGGUUGAACCACGUGACCUCUGAGACCACAGUUCUAAGCUGUUGAAACCUCAGUCCCUGCUGAAUACUGAAAUGGUAUUAGCACCCUUUAGUCUACAUCAAGAAUUCGUUCUACCCAGUUUUGGUGGUACCAAGACUGAUCUCUUUCUCAUAGAUAAUUCUUAACAGAAUAAAAGCUACAGGUUGAAACCAAUUCCCUUUAAAAUGUGGACAGUUGACCAUCUCCAUGAUAGGUAGUUAGGCACUGAAUUAAUGCUUUUUAAUGGAAGAGCCACCCUAAGAUUCCUGGAGUGUGGUAUAAUGGAGUACUAAAUCAGCAUAGGACUAAUAACUGCCUCCCGUGUAAACUGGUCUAUCCGGAGAGUGGUAUAGCCUCUCAUACAGUGUUCAAAGGCAGAUUUAACUCACUGCAGGUCCACAGCAACCGAUAAGAUAAACUCGUUGGUUAUGGUCUCCCACUUUGCAAAGGAGAGCACAGAGGAAGAGGAAACUGAGAUAACUUGGUUUAGGACCCCACAGCUGGCUGGAGCUGGGCUGAACAUUAGUUCAUUGUUUCUUCGAUUAAUCUAUGCUGCUUUUUCUCUACUUGGCUCCUUUUCUAAAUUAAACAAAACAAAACAAAAAACACUGGGCACAGAGUGGUGUAUAUGUGUGUGAGAGAGAGACAGAGAUAGAGAAAGACUAAGCGAAAGAGAAAAGAGAGAGGCUGAGUGAGAUUCAGAUAAAAUAAGGCACAAGUCAUGGGCUAGUCUGUUGUACAGUGUACUUGUCAUAUAUUUGAAUGCCUUUAACAAUGGAGACAGUUUUGAUGGAAAUAGGGCCUUGAAGAAAUGCAUAUCCGCACCCUGGUGGUAUGUUAUAACUAAACGGGUUGGUUUUUUGUUUCGGAGUUUUUUGGGUUUCUUUUUAAUGCAAAGGUAUAUAUUUAAAAUACCCUGUAGCUUCCUUCUCUCCUUCAUUUCAUUUCCUUAAGUAUGAGAGAGGUUUUCUGGAUGACGGGACAUCCAAACUGGAAGUGCCCUCAGAUCCCAUCAACUCCCAUCCCCAUGUUUGAGAAGCACGUAAAGUAAGCUCCAGAAGAGCUCCCAGACAACGUCGGCACACAAUUAUCAGAGGACUUUUCCCUGAUGGCAGAAAGCUACUGACAUUUCCA